UACGUAGGGCGCGAGCGUUAAUCGGAAUUACUGGGCGUAAAGCGUGCGCAGGCGGUUUUGUAAGCCAGAUGUGAAAUCCCCGGGCUUAACCUGGGAAUGGCCAUGGAAACUGGCGAACUGGAGUGUGGCAGAGGGGGGUGGAAUUCCGCGUGUAGCAGUGAAAUGCGUAGAGAUGCGGAGGAACACCGAUGGCGAAGGCAGCCCCCUGGGCUAGCACUGACGCUCAGGCACGAAAGCGUGGGGAGCAAACAGG
RNAcentral lists this ribosomal RNA (253 nucleotides) under uncultured bacterium. Its description in RNAcentral is "partial 16S ribosomal RNA". It matches the Rfam family "Bacterial small subunit ribosomal RNA", at positions 524 to 776 of the family's 1533-position model. The record is from RNAcentral.